AUUCAUCAAAACAAUAUUGACACAAAAAAAAUUCACUGCUACUAUCAUGGCGAGGUGGAGGGUCACCCGGGGUCAGAGGUCAGCCUCAGCACCUGCACAGGACUCAGGGGACUGAUUUCACUUGAACAUGAAGUGUAUGUACUGGAGCCGAUGGAAGAGGGAAACACACACCGUCUUUACAGAGGAGAACAUCUUAAACUCACCCAGGGAACCUGCGGACACGGUCACAACAUUUCAUACCCUACAGAGAUGAUGAACACUACUGGAGCCGUCUUCAGCUCUCACAGCAGCCAGAGGCAUAAAAGAGACGCUCAGAGCAGCACCAAGCAUGUGGAGUUGAUCAUCGUCGCAGACAACCGCGAGUAUCAGAAACAGGGGAAAGACGUGGAGAAAGUGAAACAGAGGCUUGCUGAAAUAGCGAACUACGUGGACAAGUUUUACAGAUCGCUGAAUAUCCGUGUGGCUCUGGUGGGGCUGGAGGUGUGGAGUGACGGAGACAAAUGCUCCAUCACACAGGAUCCGUUCACAUCGCUCCACGAGUUCCUGGACUGGAGAAAAGUCAAGCUGCUCCCGCAGAGACCCCAUGAUAACGCUCAGCUCAUCAGUGGCGUUUACUUCCAGGGCACCACCAUCGGCAUGGCUCCCAUUAUGAGCAUGUGCACUGCGGAACAGUCAGGGGGCAUCGUCAUGGAUCACUCUGAUAACCCUCUCGGCGCUGCGGUUACUUUGGCCCAUGAGCUCGGACACAACUUCGGCAUGAACCACGACACACCGGAGCGCGGCUGCGGCUGCAGAGCCACCAUGGACCGCGGCGGGUGUAUCAUGACCCCCUCCACUGGGUAUCCUUUCCCUACAGUCUUCAGUACGUGCAGUAAGAAGGAUCUUGCGGCGAGUUUGGAGAAAGGUGUGGGCAUGUGUUUGUUCAACAUGCCAGAGGUGAAGGUGCUCUACGGAGGCCAGAAAUGUGGAAAUGGAUACGUCGAGGAGGGAGAGCAGUGUGAUUGCGGAGAUGAGUGUCUGAAUCCCUGCUGUAAUGCCAGUACAUGCACACUGAAGGACGAAGCCGUAUGUGCGCAUGGACAGUGUUGUGAAGACUGUCAGUUGAAGCCUGCAGGGACUCGGUGCCGUGAGUCCAGUAACUCCUGUGAUCUGCCGGAGUUUUGCACGGGUGCCGAUCCUCACUGUCCCGCUAAUGUCUACCUGCACGACGGACACACCUGUCAGGGUGUGGAUGGACACUGUUACAACGGCAUCUGCCAGACACACGAGCAGCAGUGCAUCACACUGUGGGGACAGGGUGCAAAACCAGCUCCAGGUAUCUGUUUCGAAAGAGUCAACUCGGCGGGAGAUCCGUAUGGAAACUGUGGAAAAGAUUCAAAGGAAUCAUUUGCCAAAUGUGAAGCGCGAGAUGCUAAAUGUGGGAAGAUCCAGUGUCAGGGCGGAGCCAAUCGGCCAGUGAUUGGCACCAAUGCCGUCUCCAUAGAAACCAAUAUCCCGCUCCAGGAAGGAGGCCGUAUCCUCUGCCGCGGGACUCAUGUGUACCUGGGAGACGACAUGCCGGAUCCGGGCCUCGUGCUCACCGGCACCAAGUGUGGAGAAAACAUGAUGUGUAUAAACAGACAGUGUCAGAACAUCAGUGUGCUCGGGGUUCACGACUGUUCGGCCAAGUGCAGCGGACACGGGGUUUGUAAUAAUAAUAAGAACUGUCACUGUGAGUCACUCUGGGCUCCUCCGUUCUGUGAUAAAGCUGGGUUUGGAGGCAGUAUGGACAGCGGCCCGAUGAGACCAACAGACAGCAGCAGUGUGACGGUGGGCAUCCUGGUGGCGUUUCUGUGUCUGCUGUGUGUUGGAAUAAUCCCCCAGUCUCCUCUCCAGACGGUGGACUCUGUGGUCCCGUCUCAUGGUCUCCGCCGGCUGCCCCCGUGCCCUCCGGUCCACCUCUCUCACCCGCUGCCGCUGGCACUUGGCCUUCCACUGACACCACCACACACACACUCGUCUCCACCCAGAGCCCCUCCACCAGCACUCACACACACAUACACAUCCGCUCCAGCAGUGGGAACGGCCGGCCGUGGCCUGGCCUGCCAGAAUGUCUGCAAGAUCGCCAUGGUGAGUGGAAAUAUGCCAGCGCUGUAG
This is a long non-coding RNA of Sinocyclocheilus grahami, 2136 nucleotides long. Ensembl annotates it as disintegrin and metalloproteinase domain-containing protein 12-like. Lineage: Eukaryota; Metazoa; Chordata; Actinopteri; Cypriniformes; Cyprinidae. The record is from Ensembl.